Molecule: long non-coding RNA, 517 nt
Filed under: Bos taurus (domestic cattle)
Lineage: Eukaryota; Metazoa; Chordata; Mammalia; Artiodactyla; Bovidae
Description: long non-coding RNA NONBTAT007159
Source: RNAcentral
CCUUGAGAGAAAAGGCUAUUCAAAGGGUAAAGCGUUUGGGUUCUACAAAACAUGGACAGAGGGAAAAUCCUUGGGUUCCCAACUCUCCACAGGAAACCCAAUAUCCCUUUUUUUCAAGCAAGAUUGGCUGUAAUUUCUUAAAGUUCUAACAGAGUCUACUGAGAGUCCCAAUCUCUAGUUAAAUGAGCAUAUGUUCCUCUGCUAGGACAAAGGUCCUAUCUGAAUAUACUGGAAGAAGCACAGGGUUUUCUGUUUGGGGUAGCCAUGGCAGGGUCCCAGCCCACUUUGGGAAGUAUGAAGUUCGAUAUUUGAGAACGUCUCAUCUGGCUUCAGGGAAUACCAAUGUGGAUGAAACACAAAGCUGGCAGGGCAGGGUUCUUACGGAAAUGCCAGAAAAAAAAAUUCCUGUUUUGCAUGCAGGCUGGACUAUCCUUUUGUCACUUUCCAUCAGAUUCUUUAGUGCAUCUAAUAAUUCUUAGAUUUAAUAGGCAUAACUAAGUCACUGGGUAGCUUGUGG